Long non-coding RNA from Strigops habroptila (Kakapo), 2751 nucleotides. RefSeq lists it as uncharacterized. The transcript is spliced from 3 exons. NCBI's taxonomy places the organism in Eukaryota, Metazoa, Chordata, Aves, Psittaciformes, Psittacidae. The record is from RefSeq and is a predicted model, not a curated record.
UGCUGGUGGCAGUGGUGCUGGUGUUAUGGUGAAUCAUCAGCAUCUGAAGGCCUUCACUGUGAAGAAUAUGAUGUUCGUGUUGAUGGUUUAUUUUUCCUUGCUCUAGGAUCAACUUGGAGUAAUUUUUAUAUGUCUGCCAACAUCCUUUCACACCUUUGCUCUGUCUUCCUUGGUCUGCAGUUCCAUAUUACACCCAGGUUUACUAUAUAUGGUGUCUUUCAUGUAUGUUAGAUACUAUUAUUUUGUUUUCUUUGUUACCCCUAAAAUCAGCUCUGUCCAGCUCCAGGUCUGCAUUUCUGUAACUGAGCAUGGGUGACUUAUAGCCGAGGGGUCUCAGUGCCAGCCUGUGCCCUUUCUUUCAGCAUUCUGUGCUUGUGGCCCUCUUUACUGCAGUCUGGUUUCACUGCUCACAGGCUUUGCUGUCAUACCAGGCCUGUUUUCCUCUGUACUGCAUCAACAUGUUAGAGUUGUUCUAUUCUGCACAGAAUACCUGCUUGUUACUGGUAUCUGUGUAAAACUAUGGUUGUACUAUUUAAAGACAAACAAAACAAAUUAACUUUAGAUACCUAGUAUCCGUCCUGCUAUUUCAACUUUUUCUCCUUUGGUGAUGCUCUUAGCAGCUGGUUCAGCUGGGUCAAGACUUUCAGGACACAAGAGAAUAAAACAUGGAUGUAGAUAUUUGUGGCUGACAGUCAAAUAUGUACAAUGCUUAGAAAAAGGAAAAAGGGGAAAGAUUUUUUUAUUGUUGUUUGCCCAGAAAGACUAUGGAAGCAUGAAGAAAUGCGAAAACAAAAGAUUGCUCAAGCCUUCCACAGAGAAACUGAGAGCACAAUGAAAAAUUCUCUUCCUUGUCCUUAGGGAAUGUCCUUAUUAAAUGGAAGGCCUGGGGCUUUUUUGAACAGCAAUGAAAAUGAAAAUCUGGAAAUUUGCAUGGAGUAAUCUGGAGAAGUCUUUAAAAUAAUACUUUUCCUGUCUUUGAAAGCAAUUUAAUGUAAUUUAUUUAAUUGACCUGUGAUUCUGCUGGAAAAAAACCCUCCCAAUCCUGUUGCAUAUGUGUUUUCUUCGUAUAUGCAUAGUCCAAUAUAGUUUACAGAGAAUGCCCAGGUUGUUUUGUAUGGUAACUGACAACUACUUAAGUAGGACUUAAAAGCUUCAGACAAUGUAAAUCAAGUAAUAAUAAAAGUUAUUAUAACUUCUAUUGUUUUCUUAUAAUCUCUAUACUAUUGUUAUAGGUAUAUGAAGCUUUUUAAUAUGUGGUGAUAAGGCUUUUUGAUAAGAUCCAUGAAGCAUUCUGGAGAAACACAUCGUACUGCCAUUUCAUUGAUCUCAGGUGGCAGGUGGAAGUCUUCUCAGAUGCAUUAUCACCUAAUUUCAAAGAGAAUGUAUUAACAGAGAUGCAGGAUAGCAAAUUUUCAUGUAAAUAAUGUCUUGCCUUUCUCAAAGGGCCCAUUUACAAUUCUGAGGCUAUUAGACUUCUGGCCUGGCUUCUUUAGCUCUGUAAUUCUGCAGUGGGAUUGGAGAUCCAGUUUGAGAUCGACAAUUAACUUCUCACUUGUGCUGCACAGCUUCUACAUUUCUGUAAUACUGAACAAAUGACUGCUACUAAUGUUUUGCUCAUCAACUAGUAAGUGGAGGCCAUUUAAGGCAGAAAUGUAGGGUUUAGCUCCAGCUGCCAUUCCAAUGUUGCAGAAAGCUUUCGCUGCAGUUCAUUAAGUUCAACUUCAGGCAGUCACAAAACUAUCAGCUAAUUAUUUUUUUUCCUUUCCUCGGCUGAGUGAAACCUCAUGUCACCCACUUCCACUCAUAAAAUGGAGCUACAGAAUUCUUCAUUCUUGGAGACAGAAGAAACAGAGCAGUGAGGAAGAUACCAGUGUAACCCUUAAAAUAACAGGAAGUGGCCUUUACAUAUAUUUUGAUGCUUACCAUUGCAUGGUCUUGUUUCCAAAGCCUGUUCUGGACAGAGGUGUUGAUUCUCUAAUUCCUGAAUGAUCACUGCCCGAGAUCGGACUUGUAUCCCUCCAAAGCCAAGAUCCUCACCAUUAACACAGAAUUCCUCAUCUACUGCUUUGCCAACAUCUUCAAUGGAUCCAUCAAAAACGACACAGGAAAUGUUCCUCACUCGUGUUCCUUCUCCACACUGAGCAUCCUGGGGAAGGAGGACACACAUGGAUGCCGACAGAAGUGCCAAAAGACUAGACCUAAUCUUGUGCUAUGUGUCAUUCUGUCUCCUGUUAUUUUUUUGCUUACUUACUUAUUCACUCCAGUAGGGGGAAAAACAACCCCACAACAUUUUUCUUUACUUCUGAAACAAACACACAAUCAAACAAACAUAGAAUUCUGCUGGCUGCUGCUACUGUUUCUUAAAGUAUGGAGGUAAUCGUGCUUUUGAAUUGCAACCAUGGCAGUAUCUCAAGUGAAGAUCUCUUCUAGGAUGCCAAUGUAUUUCCUCAGAUAUUCUUUUAUAAUAGAAAGAUUUUAAUUAUUAGCAAAGGUAUUAAAGUUUAUAUUUAUACUUUGAAUAUCUGUAGGACAUUGUUGUAUCUGUUGAGAAAUAUGAACUCUGAGAAUAAAUCUUUGAGUAUCUGUAGGACAUUGUUGUAUCUGUUGAGAAAUACGAACUCUGAGAAUAAAUCUUGAGGUUUUGUAUAAAAGGCGGAAGCAAAUUGUUUACAGUGUAAUGAAGCAUAUCACAAAUAUGUCUAGAUAUACAAACUCCAUAACUUCAAAGUCCUGUAUAGCUUUUACCUCUAC